This 463-nucleotide ribosomal RNA is filed under the name uncultured bacterium. RNAcentral describes it as "bacterial SSU rRNA". It matches the Rfam family "Bacterial small subunit ribosomal RNA", at positions 28 to 507 of the family's 1533-position model. The record is from RNAcentral.
GACGAACGCUGGCGGCGUGCCUAACACAUGCAAGUCGAACGGGGCAGUCUCUUCGGAGACUGCUUAGUGGCGAACGGGUGAGUAACGCGUGAGAAACCUGCCUUUCAGUGGGGGACAACAGUUGGAAACGACUGCUAAUACCGCAUAAUGUUAUUUGGGGGCAUCCCUGAAUAACCAAAGCUUAAUGUGCUGAAAGAUGGUCUCGCGUCUGAUUAGCUAGAUGGCGGGGUAACGGCCCACCAUGGCGACGAUCAGUAGCCGGACUGAGAGGUUGGCCGGCCACAUUGGGACUGAGACACGGCCCAGACUCCUACGGGAGGCAGCAGUGGGGAAUAUUGGGCAAUGGGCGCAAGCCUGACCCAGCAACGCCGCGUGAAGGAAGAAGGCUUUCGGGUUGUAAACUUCUGUUUUAGUGAAGAAACAAAUGACGGUAGCUAAAGAGGAAGCCACGGCUAACUACGUG